UCAUCCGCGAAAGAGCAGUUCCCAUCCCAUCCAGUUUCAGCUAGCAACACGUCACAAACACACAAACUAGCUAUAGCAGGUUGUCACUGAUCAUGACGAUGGCCGCACGCCUGAUGCUGGUGGCGGCGCUGCUGUGCGCGGCGGCCGCGGCCGCCACGGCGCAGCAGGCGACCAACGUGCGGGCGACGUACCACUACUACCGGCCGGCGCAGAACAACUGGGACCUGGGCGCGCCCGCGGUGAGCGCCUACUGCGCGACCUGGGACGCCAGCAAGCCGCUGUCGUGGCGGUCCAAGUACGGGUGGACGGCGUUCUGCGGCCCCGCCGGCGCCCACGGGCAGGCGGCGUGCGGCAAGUGC
This 359-nucleotide long non-coding RNA is filed under the name Triticum aestivum (bread wheat). RNAcentral describes it as "long non-coding RNA (TAES_LNC000933)". Lineage: Eukaryota; Viridiplantae; Streptophyta; Magnoliopsida; Poales; Poaceae. The record is from RNAcentral.